RNAcentral lists this ribosomal RNA (253 nucleotides) under uncultured bacterium. RNAcentral describes it as "partial 16S ribosomal RNA". It matches the Rfam family "Bacterial small subunit ribosomal RNA", at positions 524 to 776 of the family's 1533-position model. The record is from RNAcentral.
UACGUAGGAUCCGAGCGUUUCCCGGAAUUACUGGGUGUAAAGGGCGUGUAGGUGGGCCUCUAAGUCGGUGGUGAAAUCCUGCAGCUUAACUGUAGAAUUGCCGUCGAUACUGGAGGUCUUGAGUGCGGCAGAGGGAGAUGGAAUUCAUGGUGUAGCGGUGAAAUGUGUAGAUAUCAUGAAGAACACCGGUCGCGAAGGCGGUCUCCUGGUCCGUUACUGACACUGAGGCGCGAAAGCGUGGGGAUCAAACAGG